UAGGAGGUUUACCAGUCUUAGGUGACUAAGCAGUUUUACAAAUAAACCCUUCAGCAAGUUUAAAAUUAAUUAGGCUCAACUCACUGGAAGUGGACCAUCUGCUGAUACACAGAAAUGAUGUCUAAUUGUUCCAGUGAGAUGGAUGUGAUCAAAACACAAAUACCAACUUAUGAAGAGGAAGAUGAUGAUGAUAACACUGUUCUUUAUGCAUAUGAGCCAAACACUACAUUUUUCAAUAACCAGGAAAAUGUCCUAUCGGACACAUCCUACAAUGAUGAGGAGCAGAAAACCGUUUUGGAUAUCCUUACCCAUUGUCAG
Molecule: non-coding RNA, 318 nt
Organism: Urocitellus parryii (Arctic ground squirrel)
Lineage: Eukaryota; Metazoa; Chordata; Mammalia; Rodentia; Sciuridae
Source: RefSeq, a predicted model, not a curated record